AUUUGCGUUCUGCCCCCUUCGUAAAUGAGCAUGAUUUUGGCUUGGAUUCUAACUUUGAACUAUCUGCAUCUGCAAUUGAUCAAAUCACCGCUAUUACACAACAAGCAACAUAUAAGCAGUCAUCUCAUGAUGUUAAAAAGUCGGGUCCUGCUCCGCUGCCAUCAGGAAUCCCUGUACAGACACGAGCAGAUGUUGUUAUUGAGUCUAAUACUGCUCCACAGGCAUGUCGGGUUGAUGGUGUUGGUCAAGUGGAUG
Non-coding RNA from Nicotiana tabacum (common tobacco), 255 nucleotides. Lineage: Eukaryota; Viridiplantae; Streptophyta; Magnoliopsida; Solanales; Solanaceae. The record is from RefSeq and is a predicted model, not a curated record.